This 643-nucleotide long non-coding RNA is filed under the name Serinus canaria (Common canary). Its description in RNAcentral is "lncRNA (ENSSCAG00000013693.1)". The record is from RNAcentral. Lineage: Eukaryota; Metazoa; Chordata; Aves; Passeriformes; Fringillidae.
GCCAUAUUUGAUUUUUAAGUGAGCUAUCUUUAUUAGUCAACAUAUGGUCAUAGCUUUCAAAGGGGAGAGUCAUUGGAUUCACAGCAUGUAGUGUGGGUCUCUGGUCUGCUGUAAGAGGUCAUCACCAAGUCUUGCAGUCUCAGGCCUGCAACCUGCAUUCUGUUGUCUUUGUGGCUGGAGUGGGCAGAAACUAUGGGAAGUGCCUCAGAAAAAGGGGCUGGCAGGCAAAGACAUCCCAGUCUGAGGUCAAGAAAUGGAAGACAAGUUCUUCACACAACAAUCACUGGCAGAGCUGCAGCAGUCCAGGACAAGAACCCUUGAGGUGCUUUCCCAGCAAUCUAGGGGCCAGCAGAACAGGAAAAACCAGGGUUGCUUGGUGUGAGAUGCCAACCAUUUCAUGACCAGAAAAGGGAGAGACAGAACGAAACUCUGCAUUUGCAUGAAGCAUCUAGAGAAAAACCCCACUGGAGGAAAUGAUGCUGCAGCCACCAAAAGCUCUGUCCCAUGGAGAAGGUGUACAAAGAAGCCAGGAUCCUCAGAGCUUGCUGUGCACUCUAGAAUCAGUGGCAGGAGGAAGGUGAGCUUGGAGGACACUGGGUACAUUUGGAGACCUUCAAGGCUACUGCAGGGAUCAAGGAAUUAA